GGAGACCUUGCAGCGGGACGUGAUUAAAACGAGCUGCUGUGUGAGCGUAUAGCUGCGCUACAGAGGAAAAAGCAAAGUCAAACCCUUUUCGGCCUUGGAGUUCCAUCGGCGAUGAGCAGCUCAAGGAGGGAACAGAGGCUGUGGUCUCCAUGGAAACUGUGGCCGACCAAUGGUGGGUGUUUGCUGCCUGAACAUAUGACACGCUGCCUUUGGAGGGAAAGCUGGACCCAGGAAGGAGCAAAAGCAGGAGGAGGAAAUUUACACAGCAUAAAUAUGUUUGCUCUCUGAAUGAGCUCACCAUGUUUCCCCGAGCUCAUUAAAAUAUCAAACCCAGAGUUAUAUUUCAAUAUGUAGAUAUUGUCAAUAAAAGUAGCUUCAGCUUAAUAUUCUGGGUGAAGUGUUUGGUUUUAUUAUAUUAAACAUGCUACAGUAAUAUUGUCGAGUAUACCA
This 450-nucleotide long non-coding RNA is filed under the name Takifugu rubripes (torafugu). Its description in RNAcentral is "lncRNA (ENSTRUG00000027785.1)". The record is from RNAcentral. Lineage: Eukaryota; Metazoa; Chordata; Actinopteri; Tetraodontiformes; Tetraodontidae.